This is an RNA transcript of Arabidopsis thaliana (thale cress), 296 nucleotides long. RefSeq lists it as uncharacterized. The transcript has a single exon. NCBI's taxonomy places the organism in Eukaryota, Viridiplantae, Streptophyta, Magnoliopsida, Brassicales, Brassicaceae. The record is from RefSeq.
AAUUUGACUUUGUUCUCUAUUACAAUGUUCACUAUGCAUUUGCAUCUUUCAAGAACGAAGGUGAUGAUGACGACGAUGUAGUCUAUGAUUACGCUCCGGCUGCAUGAUUCAAUCAUCUACAGUUAUAAAAAUCUUCAUCAUUACGGGAGAGACAGAAGCUUUUCUAGCUACCCAGAUAACCCUAAUUAGUAUAAUUAUAUAGACCAUGUGCGAGUUUGUAGCUAAUCUGGCUUGAGUGUUGUUACUACUUGUAGUUUGUAAUAUCAUAAUAAUAACUAGUGGUAACUAUAUUAUCA